GCAACAGACUUGGAAGAAAGCACCUGGCGUCCUUCUGCUGUGCCAAAUAAAAAGGAGACCUGCGCAACAGCAACGGGUGUGCUGCCAGCCAUGUCCCUCCCGCGCCUGCCUGCCUCUUCCUCCCUUGGCCCCUGCCUCGCCCUCUACAAGCUGGCAGGAGCUGCUGUAACUCGUUUAAUUCAGGAAGUCGGCCUCAAACCAUAAGCCGUGCCCCCUGUGAUCCCCUUUGUGGCGCUGCGCCCCGAAACCCUCGCCACAUGCUUUCUGCUGUGCCCGUCCCUCUGAGGAAACCGGGGCAGUUUCUCCCCUCAGCGGCUCAACAGCCUUCCCCCUGGGCUGAAAAAUGCACAAAAUCACAUAUACUCACUGUUUUUGGGUGGGCGGCGGGCUGAGGUGAGUCCUCCAGGGGCUCCUGGCAGGCAGUGGUGCCUCCUCAGCCUGUUACCUCACGGGGGUGAAGGGCAAAAUGGCGCCUGGCUGCUGCUGCCUUUCUAAAAUGGUGCCUCACUUUUCCCGCCUUUUUCUGAGGCGAAGAGAAAGCUCGCAGAAAGCCGCGGUGGCAUUCAAAACCCCCUUUGGUGCUUCCCUUUUCCACAUAGCGUCCUUUCUAAGCUUGCUUUUUUUUUUUUCUCCCCCCCCCUCAAUUUUAUUUUUAUUUUAGCCCAGCAAAACACCUUGAGAAACAUUUUGGCGUAAACGGGCUGCUUUGCGAAUGUGAGUACCUCGUGAGUCUUGCCAGGCUUUUUGCGUUUUGCCUCUAACGUUUCCUUCAGCCCUAGGAAAAACCCGAAGGGGAAAAAGCGCUACCAGCUCCUCCCGUUUUGUCCGAAGGAUACCGGUCGCAGAGCAUCCGAUGGGCAUGUGCUUGAUCGCCAGUGCCAGUUCCCAGCCACUUCCUCUAAAUGGCGAUGUAGCAUUUUCGAGAGGACAGCACAUCUCACCCAGCAAAAGGGAGUCCGGCCCAAUCUGUUUUUGCUGACUGCAAGCUGGCAGCAAUGCUCCAGCAUUCGGCAAGUUGACCAGAGAACCUUCUGCAAAGUACCUGGAUUAAAUAGACUCAAGCAGGAGAAUUUUACCACAAGUCCAUCUGGCAAAGGUUAGAGCGAGGAUGAGACCGCUGGAGGUGUUUUACCACUGACCCCAGCAGAGCUCUCGCUGCUCUAUGAGAAGUGCAGACUUCAUCUUUACAAAGUGCUGGUAGUCCUGGAGCUGCUCCUCGG
Molecule: non-coding RNA, 1220 nt
Organism: Struthio camelus australis
Lineage: Eukaryota; Metazoa; Chordata; Aves; Struthioniformes; Struthionidae
Source: RefSeq, a predicted model, not a curated record